This is a long non-coding RNA of Apus apus (common swift), 1937 nucleotides long. RefSeq lists it as uncharacterized. The transcript has 2 exons. Lineage: Eukaryota; Metazoa; Chordata; Aves; Apodiformes; Apodidae. The record is from RefSeq and is a predicted model, not a curated record.
UAAAAAAUCCUCCUAAUUGGAGAAUUAAACACUAUUGCUUUAAAACAGUGGUGCACUGCUUUGAAAAAUUAAGACCAUAUGGAAUCAGUUAUUACUUUUCAAUAUGUAUUCAGUCUCUGGUGCAAUUUUAUGUACCCGCUAAUGCAUAAAGCUUUUUGGAGAAGGAAUAAAGCACCACAAGGCAUGAUUUAAUGCUAUGGGGUCACCAAAUCUGUUUCAGAUUACUGGAUGUUUCAAUCUGCUGCAAAGAAGGGGACGUCCCUGGACUGAUGAAACAAUGAUAGGGGGGAGGAGCCCAUAAAUCUGAAACACUUUAGAAAUAUAGUGCAUGUAUCAACAAUAACUUUUAAAGGAUUCAGGGGGGGUUUGGUCUUAUAAGAGAGAGAGAGUUAAGAAACAAAUUCUACCAAGUGACAGGAAAGUUAAAGUCAGUGUUAAUAGUUCAAUACUUGGUUGCAAUUUAAGACGUCUUAAUGAAUCAUGUUUUCAAACACUACAGGCCCACAUAAGCAUGUGACUGUAAGAGAAAAUAAGAGCAAGUAAUCCAGGAGCUCACAAAAGUGCUUUUGUUUACAGUUCUGUGGUCCCUGGAAGUGCCUAUUCUUGUGCUUAUUCACAAACACCUCUGGCUCUUUCUCCCAGAAAUCCUAUCCAAACGUUUUUGUUCUGACUUGGUUAGAAGAGGACUUUGUGCUUCGCCUCUUUUUGUACCACUUCUGUGAGGUUCAGUCUCACAGUGACCUUCCUCUGCCAAGGGGCUGCCAUAGGUCUGAUGCCUUGGUCACUUUUUGUUACUUGUUUUUUUUUCUGCGGAGCAAUCUUUGCUCUCAGGGCCUGGGCAUUUUCUUUUCACUGGUUCAGCAGGGACCCAACAAGAAGAGUUAACCAUGCGUGGUUUGUGCCACCUGGCAAUGAGCUCUGCAGGCACAGGAGGCAGCCUUUAUCAUGAACCUGAGAGCAGUAUAACCCUCUGGCUAGUUAUAAUUUAACAGAAACACCAUUUUUCAUCUUGCCGCGGUGUUGUGCCUUCUUUUAAAUGUCAUCUGUAGAGUCUCCCAGUGAGUGGGAGCUUCAGUUUGGCUUUGUGUUUCUUACAGAUACUGAGAAAAACUUUUCCAUAUGAACAUGGAACCUACUGAAAAAGAGCCAGAUUCUUUCUUAGAGGCGUAAGCAAGCUAAAUGGAGUUUGAAAUCACUUUUACACCUCAGUCAAACUAUUUUGUCACUAUGUAUUUGUCAUUUAUAACCAGUAAUCAACUGGUUCUUCUAUUAAGGCUGAAAUUAUGUAUUUUUAGAAGAAUUAUUAAGCAAGUAAAUUAAUCUCCAGUUUUCCUGUAGCACUGAAGCUUGUUCAUCACUGUUCUGCCUUCCAUCCUUCUUUAAACAUUUGAUAAUGAAUAGUAAUUCCAAGUAAGUUCCCAGCUUUUGUUUCAAACUUACAGAGCAUGCAGACUCCUUCUGAAUCAAGACCUUAAUGUGACCUCUCCCACCUGCUCCAAUUAUAGCAUCCAAAUAAAAUUGAAACCAGUGGAAUGAAUUCAUAAUAAGGAUUAAAACAAAAAGCCAUGAGAGCAGUGGUGGUGGGAGCUGUUCUACUUGCAGGAAUGUUGGGACUAAUCACGUGAGAAAAGAUCCUGGAGUGAUGAGGCAGCAUAUUUCCCAUGUCUGAGGUCAGGAUUUGUUCUGUGAAGCUGACCUUUAAAACAGCCUGAAAAUGAGGAACGUGGCACCAGAGAGCAGAGCAGGAAGCAUGAAAUGAUGUAAGAUAUGUUUCUUCUGCAUAUGAAAUACUUGCCUUUUUUUUUUUUUCUUAAAGCUCCAGGUUUGUGAUUCAGCAGUUUCUGCCACUGACAGAAUAUAAAAAAGGGGAAAGCCCUGUGGAAAAGAGGAUUUCCUAUUGUUUUAGUAAAAAUCUAAUAAAAUCUUUCCGUCGGUUA